AAGGAGGCCGCCCCCUCGCCCGUCACGCAACGCACGUUCAUGGGGAACCUGGUGCUAAACCCUUCAUAGACGAUCUGCUUCUCGGUCCGGGUUUCAUACCUAGCAGAGCAGCUCCCUUGCUGCGAUCUAUUGAAAGUCAGCCCUCGACACAAGGGUUUGU
This 160-nucleotide ribosomal RNA is filed under the name Ailuropoda melanoleuca (giant panda). RNAcentral describes it as "similar to 28S ribosomal RNA". The record is from RNAcentral. Lineage: Eukaryota; Metazoa; Chordata; Mammalia; Carnivora; Ursidae.